UGGGGAAUUUUGCACAAUGGGGGAAACCCUGAUGCAGCGACGCCGCGUGAUUUAGAAGGCCUUCGGGUUGUAAAAAUCUUUUCUAUGGGAAGAAAAUGACAGUACCAUAGGAAUAAGGACCGGCUAAUUACGUGCCAGCAGCCGCGGUAAUACGUAGGUCCCGAGCGUUGUCCGGAUUUAUUGGGCGUAAAGCGAGCGCAGGCGGUUAGAAAAGUCUGAAGUGAAAGGCAGUGGCUCAACCAUUGUAGGCUUUGGAAACUGUUUAACUUGAGUGCAGAAGGGGAGAGUGGAAUUCCAUGUGUAGCGGUGAAAUGCGUAGAUAUAUGGAGGAACACCAGUGGCGAAGGCGACUCUCUGGUCUGUAACUGACGCUGAGGCUCGAAAGCGUGGGUAGCAAACAGG
This 402-nucleotide ribosomal RNA is filed under the name Bacteroidota bacterium. Its description in RNAcentral is "Bacteroidetes bacterium partial 16S ribosomal RNA". It matches the Rfam family "Bacterial small subunit ribosomal RNA", at positions 355 to 776 of the family's 1533-position model. The record is from RNAcentral. Lineage: Bacteria; Pseudomonadati; Bacteroidota.